UAUUUAUAAUAUUUUUUUGAAGCAUAAUGAUAUUUAUACAUCAUAAAGUGAUAAAGCUAUUUGUUACAUGUAAAGAGAGAAAACAUGUGUGAAAUUGUCAAGUUUGUUGUUAUGAUUGUCUUUCUUUUUGUAUUUUUUCUUUCAGCGGACAUGGAUUAUUCUAAAAAAAGUUAUAAAUGCCGAACAGACAUUGAUUGUCGAAAUCACUAUUGUACAAGAGCCGUGAACCAAGGUGUGUGGAUCGCUUAUGUAGAUGUGUUGAACCAAUGUUGGAUUAAAUUAUGUUCCCACAUACUUCGUUAUUUGAAUAAUCUUAUAUAAUCUGUUCUUGUAAGUUGAUUGUAUUGAAAUAAGGCAAAAGAUAGUAUCAUUUAGAUUGUCUUCUUCUCUUUUAAUUUUAAAGAUGUCUCCCUGAACUUUAAUUAAGAUAUCAAGUUUUCUUUCCA
Trifolium pratense (red clover) is the source of this 446-nucleotide long non-coding RNA. RefSeq lists it as uncharacterized. The transcript is spliced from 2 exons. Lineage: Eukaryota; Viridiplantae; Streptophyta; Magnoliopsida; Fabales; Fabaceae. The record is from RefSeq and is a predicted model, not a curated record.